This 754-nucleotide ribosomal RNA is filed under the name unidentified microorganism. RNAcentral describes it as "bacterial SSU rRNA". It matches the Rfam family "Bacterial small subunit ribosomal RNA", at positions 49 to 849 of the family's 1533-position model. The record is from RNAcentral.
CUACACAUGCAAGUCGAACGGACCCUUCGGGGUUAGUGGCGGACGGGUGAGUAACACGUGGGAACGUGCCUUUAGGUUCGGAAUAGCUCCUGGAAACGGGUGGUAAUGCCGAAUGUGCCCUUCGGGGGAAAGAUUUAUCGCCUUUAGAGCGGCCCGCGUCUGAUUAGCUAGUUGGUUGGGGUAAUGGCCCACCAAGGCUACGAUCAGUAGCUGGUCUGAGAGGAUGACCAGCCACAUUGGGACUGAGACACGGCCCAAACUCCUACGGGAGGCAGCAGUGGGGAAUCUUGCGCAAUGGGCGAAAGCCUGACGCAGCCAUGCCGCGUGGAUGAUGAAGGUCUUAGGAUUGUAAAAUCCUUUCACCGGUGAAGAUAAUGACUGUAGCCGGAGAAGAAGCCCCGGCUAACUUCGUGCCAGCAGCCGCGGUAAUACGAAGGGGGCUAGCGUUGCUCGGAAUUACUGGGCGUAAAGGGAGCGUAGGCGGACAUUUAAGUCAGGGGUGAAAUCCCAGAGCUCAACUCUGGAACUGCCUUUGAUACUGGGUGUCUUGAGUGUGAGAGAGGUAUGUGGAACUCCGAGUGUAGAGGUGAAAUUCGUAGAUAUUCGGAAGAACACCAGUGGCGAAGGCGACAUACUGGCUCAUUACUGACGCUGAGGCUCGAAAGCGUGGGGAGCAAACAGGAUUAGAUACCCUGGUAGUCCACGCCGUAAACGAUGAUUGCUAGUUGUCGGGAUGUUUACAUCUCGGUGACGC